UCUUUCUUUGCUGGCGACCGGCACACGGGUGAGUAACACGUAUCCAACCUGCCCUUUACUCGGGGAUAGCCUUUCGAAAGAAAGAUUAAUACCCGAUAGUAUAAUGAUUCCGCAUGGUUUCAUUAUUAAAGGAUUCCGGUAAAGGAUGGGGAUGCGUUCCAUUAGGUUGUUGGUGAGGUAACGGCUCACCAAGCCUUCGAUGGAUAGGGGUUCUGAGAGGAAGGUCCCCCACAUUGGAACUGAGACACGGUCCAA
This 255-nucleotide ribosomal RNA is filed under the name uncultured bacterium. Its description in RNAcentral is "partial 16S ribosomal RNA". It matches the Rfam family "Bacterial small subunit ribosomal RNA", at positions 78 to 334 of the family's 1533-position model. The record is from RNAcentral.